CAAAAUAUAGUUUAAUAAAAAUUCUAAUUUUGGGAAUUAGUAAUACUGUUUUCAGUUAUUUUGA
This 64-nucleotide transfer RNA is filed under the name Abyssogena mariana. RNAcentral's name for it is "tRNA-Pro". The record is from RNAcentral. Lineage: Eukaryota; Metazoa; Mollusca; Bivalvia; Venerida; Vesicomyidae.